GCCUCGGUGGUCUAGCGGUUAGAACGCUGGCCUUGUAAUCCUGGGGUCUCGGGUUCGAUUCCCGGCGGUGCCC
Non-coding RNA from Zootermopsis nevadensis, 73 nucleotides. NCBI's taxonomy places the organism in Eukaryota, Metazoa, Arthropoda, Insecta, Blattodea, Termopsidae. The record is from Rfam.